UUUAUUUGUCACAUUUCAACCCAUAAAUCUCCUUCCUCCUCCAUAGAAAUCCUUGAUUCUGAUACAACCUGCCUCUUUCUUCUGAUAUUUUCUUCUUCUCUGCGAUGGAAUUCCAUACCAAUUGUUAAACAAUAGCAGACAAGACUGCAAAAUAUGGUUUGGGGCUUCUUCCCCGUCGAUCCUCUUUCAGGCGAGGAGAAAUUCUAUAUUUUUGCUCCUGGAAAGUAUAAAGUGGGUCGCAAAGGCUGUGAUUUGACCAUAACGAAAGAUAAAGGAGUUUCUCGCAUCCAUGCAGAAAUAGUUGUUGAUGCUAUGAUAUUUUUAAAUUCCCAUGGGAGUUAUUUAUCCAACGUUUCCUCUAAAGUGCGGAUAAGCGAUUGCUCCAAGUAUGGGACAUUUGUUAGCAGGAAUUCAGGGUUGAAGGAGAAAAUUCACGAGCUUCCCAAAAAAGAAGCAAGUUUGUGUGAUGGAGAUGUGGUUUCAUUUGGAUCUGGCAAUGCAACCUACAGGUUCUCUUUCGUGCCACUCCUGUUUUACGUUCACUGUUCAGAGUCCUUCCAAUUACAACUGCUUAGAGACAAGGUUUCGUCCAUCGGUGCUUCUACUUCCCAUGAUAGUCUGGAGUGUACACAUGUUCUUGUAGAGGAACUGAUGUCUUUUAAUGAACCUCUAAUUGAUGCCAUCAUCGCUGAGAAACCUUUUGUUCUUUCAAGUUGGGUUGAGUUAUUUGCAGGAAGAACCUCAUGCAAUGAGAUUCCAUGCACUGAUUCCUAUCAUCCUACAAUGACGGUGGAAGGGAUGCAUGUCAAAGUUGUGGACCCUAAAACUCGUAAAAACUGUUUGAUUGGAUACAUCUUUUUAUUAGGGUCAACACAUAUGAAAUACAAGUAUGGGGAUCGGUUGAAGAUGUUAUUGCAACAAGUUGGUGGUGCGAAUGUUUCAUCCAUUGAAGGCUUCUCUUCAGAUAGCAAAGACCUUGGAAAUGGAGACAAUGAUCGGAUAGUAUUUGUUACCCCUCAAGGAUCAGCAGAAAAGUUGGAUUCAUUUUAUAAGGUUGAUUCUUAUUAUAAAAUAAAUGAGUUGGUCUUGAUAUCUUCUAUUUUGAGUGGAAAGCUGGACAGAGACAAUUUGAUAUCACCCUGUGAACCUGGUUCCUCUACAUGCUCCACUGAUGAGACCGUGGUAGCAGAAUCCGAUCUCGAAGUGGAAACGGCUAAACCAGUUGAUACUGCUUCGAACGUACAAAGGCCAGAUGAAUAUUUAAGCAAACCAGAUGUGUUCGUUAACAAUGCCACUACUGGAUCAGCAGGUAGCCAUGAAACAUUCCAAGAUGGUUACAGCAGCGUUGAAACAAGAAAAGACAAGGUCAAUGAAUCUGACAACAGAAAUUUAGACAUUAUAUUUAAUCAAAAUUUAAUUGUGCGGCAUGUGACGGAACCCUCCACAAUAGUUACUGCAGAAGACGGUGGAGUUACAAACUUCAAACGCUUCAGAAAGACAGAAACUCAGUCUGGGAAUAGCUUUUACAACCUUGUUCCAUUUGCGAAGUAUCCUUACAAGGAUAAUGGCGAUGGGAGGGAGGAAAUUGCAGAGUCCUUGAAAGAAGAAAGAAAGCGCAAGGAAAAAGAAGCCAUAGCUGAGGAUUUAUUUCAUAACGAGAAGGGACGGCGCCGUGGAAUGGUUGGUUCCCUUCAAGAGCUUUUUACUCGUUCUUAAAACAGGUGUUUAGACACAGUUUAGUAUUUGCAUCGGUAUUCGUGGAUUCGAAGAUACAAGAAGGGGGAUACCAUUUGCUACCGAGUAGGAAAUGUCGUUGGAACUUGUCCUCUUUGAAACAAAGGACACUUCUGAUACUGUCGAUACUUGAAAUAGUUUAAUCUUUCCUUGACCAGUAAUUGUAUAUUUGAAGGUUCAAGAAUAGGGAUACCAUUUGCAGCACAGCGGGAAAUGCUUUUGGCAAUUUUGGGUUAUGUAUUGAAAGUGCUUUGGGCUAUGUGAAAAGUAUCUGUACCAGAAAGGGAAAAAAAGUUUGGUGAGAAAGCACUUCUAUGAGUGCUUCUGCUCCAUCCAAGUAAGUGUUUGGCUGUAAAGCAUUCAUAAGUACCUUUAAAAUACCUUUCCUGAAAACACUCCUAAUAUUACCUUAAAUAAUUGAUUCCCUUUUGCUUUCUCUUGUGAAACUCUAUUUUUUUUUUUAAUUGGGAAAACUACUUGUCUGGUCCUUAGUUUUUUGCAUUUGGCCCCUACGUUUUAAAAUUGGGUCUUUUCCUCAGAUUUUGAGAAA
This is an RNA transcript of Momordica charantia (bitter melon), 2284 nucleotides long. It is a transcript of the gene named nijmegen breakage syndrome 1, with no coding region annotated. The record is from RefSeq and is a predicted model, not a curated record. NCBI's taxonomy places the organism in Eukaryota, Viridiplantae, Streptophyta, Magnoliopsida, Cucurbitales, Cucurbitaceae.